GAUAAACGCUGGCGGCGCACAUAAGACAUGCAAGUCGAACGGACUUAACUCAUUCUUUUAGAUUGAGAGCGGUUAGUGGCGGACUGGUGAGUAACACGUAAGCAACCUGCCUAUUAGAGGGGAAUAACAGUGAGAAAUCAUUGCUAAUACCGCAUAAGCCCACAGCUCGGCAUCGAGCAGAGGGAAAAGGAGUGAUCCGCUUUGAGAUGGCCUCGCGUCCGAUUAGCUGGUUGGUGAGGUAACGGCCCACCAAGGCGACGAUCGGUAGCCGGACUGAGAGGUUGAACGGCCACAUUGGGACUGAGACACGGCCCAG
This 316-nucleotide ribosomal RNA is filed under the name uncultured bacterium. RNAcentral's name for it is "bacterial SSU rRNA". It matches the Rfam family "Bacterial small subunit ribosomal RNA", at positions 28 to 334 of the family's 1533-position model. The record is from RNAcentral.